CAACCUUCAAGCCCAGCUUGGUGUUGGGCGCUGUCCCGCCCCCGCGCGAGGACUCGCCCCAAAUGAAUUGGCAGCCGCACCCCGAAAGCCGCGAGCGCAGCAAAGACGCGCGAGCUGGCCCCCGGGGAAGGGCGCUCCACGAGACACAACCACAAG
Molecule: unclassified non-coding RNA, 156 nt
Filed under: uncultured Torula
Lineage: Eukaryota; Fungi; Ascomycota
Description: sequence contains ITS2
Source: RNAcentral